GACGUAGGGCGCGAGCGUUGUCCGGAUUUAUUGGGCGUAAAGAGCUCGUAGGCGGCUUGUCGCGUCGACUGUGAAAACCCGCGGCUCAACUGCGGGCUUGCAGUCGAUACGGGCAGGCUAGAGUUCGGUAGGGGAGACUGGAAUUCCUGGUGUAGCGGUGAAAUGCGCAGAUAUCAGGAGGAAUACCGAUGGCGAAGGCAGGUCUCUGGGCUGACACUGACGCUCAUGCACGAAAGCGUGGGGAGCAAACAGG
RNAcentral lists this ribosomal RNA (253 nucleotides) under uncultured bacterium. Its description in RNAcentral is "partial 16S ribosomal RNA". It matches the Rfam family "Bacterial small subunit ribosomal RNA", at positions 524 to 776 of the family's 1533-position model. The record is from RNAcentral.